RNAcentral lists this ribosomal RNA (351 nucleotides) under uncultured Thermovirga sp. Its description in RNAcentral is "bacterial SSU rRNA". It matches the Rfam family "Bacterial small subunit ribosomal RNA", at positions 1035 to 1382 of the family's 1533-position model. The record is from RNAcentral. Lineage: Bacteria; Thermotogati; Synergistota; Synergistia; Synergistales; Thermovirgaceae.
CAGGUGCUGCAUGGCUGUCGUCAGCGUCGUGUCGUGAGAUGUUGGGUUAAGUCCCGCAACGAGCGCAACCCCUGCACUCCAGUUGUCCAUCGGGCGAGCCGGGCACUCUGGAGGGACUGCCGGCGACAAGCCGGAGGAAGGUGGGGAUGGCGUCAAGUCAUCAUGGCCCUUAUGUCCAGGGCGACACACGUGCUACAAUGGCCGGCACAGCGGGAAGCGGAGGGCGACCCUGAGCGGAUCCCUUGAAAGCCGGUCCCAGUUCGGAUUGCAGUCUGCAACUCGACUGCAUGAAGUUGGAAUCGCUAGUAAUCGCGGAUCAGCCAAGCCGCGGUGAAUACGUUCCCGGGCCUU